GAUUUUGAAAUUUAAGAAGUGGGAGGAGAUGAAGAGACUUUCCUAAGCACAAAUUUAAAAGUUAAGGGUUGAAAAGAUCUGACCAACGGGAUGCAAUCCAACAGACAAGAAUGUCAUAUAGAAACCCAUUUUCCUUUGGACUUUAAUCAAGCAAUAAUCAAUAAGCAAUGAACACUAUCCAGACAUCAUGAAGAUCAAGGCAUCAAAUAAAGAUGGACACAUCCAAGCAAGCAAUUUCCAUAGCUAGCAGUCUUCUUUAUCUUCGAAUGUACCAGAUGAAAU
Molecule: long non-coding RNA, 282 nt
Filed under: Lathyrus oleraceus (garden pea)
Lineage: Eukaryota; Viridiplantae; Streptophyta; Magnoliopsida; Fabales; Fabaceae
Description: Pisum sativum (pea) long non-coding RNA (PSAT_LNC006117)
Source: RNAcentral